CCCGUCUUAGCUCAAUCUGGCAGAGCAUCGGACUGUAGAUCCGAAUGUUGCUGGUUCAAGUCCGGCAGACGGGA
RNAcentral lists this transfer RNA (74 nucleotides) under Methanosphaera cuniculi. RNAcentral's name for it is "tRNA-Tyr". It matches the Rfam family "tRNA". From Rfam's summary of the family: Transfer RNA (tRNA) molecules are approximately 80 nucleotides in length. Their secondary structure includes four short double-helical elements and three loops (D, anti-codon, and T loops). RNAcentral also lists the same sequence under 1 other name. Lineage: Archaea; Methanobacteriati; Methanobacteriota; Methanobacteria; Methanobacteriales; Methanobacteriaceae. The record is from RNAcentral.